GGAUUGUGGCUCAGAGGUAGAGCGCUCGCCUAGCAUGUGUGAGGCACUGGGUUCAAUUCUCAGCUCCA
Molecule: transfer RNA, 68 nt
Filed under: Marmota monax (woodchuck)
Lineage: Eukaryota; Metazoa; Chordata; Mammalia; Rodentia; Sciuridae
Description: tRNA.Ala
Rfam family: tRNA
About the family: Transfer RNA (tRNA) molecules are approximately 80 nucleotides in length. Their secondary structure includes four short double-helical elements and three loops (D, anti-codon, and T loops).
Source: RNAcentral